UACGUAGGGUGCAAGCGUUGUCCGGAUUUAUUGGGCGUAAAGAGCUCGUAGGCGGUUUGUCGCGUCGGCUGUGAAAACUCGGGACUCAACCCCGAGCCUGCAGUCGAUACGGGCAGACUAGAGUUCGGCAGGGGAGACUGGAAUUCCUGGUGUAGCGGUGAAAUGCGCAGAUAUCAGGAGGAACACCGGUGGCGAAGGCGGGUCUCUGGGCCGCUACUGACGCUGAGGAGCGAAAGCGUGGGGAGCGAACAGG
This 253-nucleotide ribosomal RNA is filed under the name uncultured bacterium. RNAcentral's name for it is "partial 16S ribosomal RNA". It matches the Rfam family "Bacterial small subunit ribosomal RNA", at positions 524 to 776 of the family's 1533-position model. The record is from RNAcentral.